ACGUCCUGGCUUCGCUUCAUCAAUCGUGCUAAUCUUUCGCCUUUUACUAAAUAUUAUCUUGGAGAGUAGCAUCCUGAUGACCUUAAGCUAAUUUUUCGAUUCCUACUAUGUGGGAAU
Molecule: small nuclear RNA, 117 nt
Organism: Parasteatoda tepidariorum (common house spider)
Lineage: Eukaryota; Metazoa; Arthropoda; Arachnida; Araneae; Theridiidae
Source: RefSeq, a predicted model, not a curated record